Molecule: non-coding RNA, 137 nt
Organism: Gossypium raimondii (Peruvian cotton)
Lineage: Eukaryota; Viridiplantae; Streptophyta; Magnoliopsida; Malvales; Malvaceae
Source: Rfam
UAUUAAAAAUUUUAUCCAUUUAUACUGUUAAAAAUUGGCGUGAUUGAUAGAAUAAACCAGACAGUGAUAUGUGUAUAUCAUGUUGACAUACAAGGAGGGUCAGUUUUUAAUAUUAGAAAUAGAUUAAAUUCUUAACU